This is a long non-coding RNA of Syngnathoides biaculeatus (alligator pipefish), 521 nucleotides long. RefSeq lists it as uncharacterized. The record is from RefSeq and is a predicted model, not a curated record. The transcript is spliced from 3 exons. Lineage: Eukaryota; Metazoa; Chordata; Actinopteri; Syngnathiformes; Syngnathidae.
GUGUAGCGGCCGCUGUCAUCUGUGGACGAGGUCUGGACACUGAGCACGCCGCUAUCAGCCUGCGCCGACCCCACGGGCUCGCCGUCGCGUUGCCACGUGAAGAGGGCCGGGGGCAGCGAGUCCGACAAGCAGAAGACGGUGAGACUCCGCGUGGCAGCAAGGGCGCUGACCUGGUUGCUGACUGUGCACGUGUAGUCUCCUGCGUCGGCCCGCUGGCCCGGGUUGAUGACCAGCGAGCCGCCGGCGAUGGUGAUCCUGCCGUCUUCGGUGACCGCAGCGCCGUCCUUUCCCCACUGGAAGGAGGGAUGGAGUGAACCUCCACAGCGAUGCUGAAAAAGUACACAUGAUGACACCAAGCCCAACGGAUACUCUUUGAAAUUCUGUUUUGAACAUGAAAUCCUGGAUGGCAAAGAACUUCCUCGACCUGACGUUUCAGUCAUCGGCCCUGAGGCCCAAAGAGAGAAGCUUUGUGGCGAAACAACAAGCACUGUCCUGAAUGCCUUCCCAUCUGGUGAAAAAGC